AAGCUUUUGGGUUUCCUGGCCCUGGGAGCUCUAAACAAUUAGUCUGUCUGCCCCCAAGUAGCCUCAAUCCACCUGGCUUCUUCCCAGGGCCACUUCCUAUACUCUCGAGCCCUCCUGGUCUUUUAUAAAUCACAAACUCCAAAGGCUAUUUUCCCUGGAGUCCCUCAUAGUUGGCUCCCUCUUACAACUGCAGGCUGCUCUUACUUUCCUAGAAAGAUUGCCCUUAGUCACCUUACCAUUUGUCAUGUGACUUCACUCACAAGCUAAAUCUGACACUGCUGCAGCUGAUCCCCAACUUUCUUGAAGGGACAGCUGACCCUCUGAAAGAGUACCUAAAAUAUCUUUAGAUUUUUCAUUGUCAACAUCAGAAGGGAAGCAGAAAAGCUGAUCAGUGAACUCCUAUCCAACACUACAGACACCAAGGUAAUGAUUGACACAGUUGGGAUCAGUUUACUGAAAGGGAUAAGGUGCAGAAUUGCAGAACUGAAGACAAAAUUACACAAGGACUAUUCAACAAAAUUAGAAAAACUGCAUUUACUAGAGAGUGAAACUGAAGCCCCCAGGCAGCUUUAUCAGCAAAUGAAAACUCUUUUGGAACAACAUUCAAAUUCAGUACAGUUUCUUCAAGAGGAUAAAAAACUCAGGGGCAAGAUGGAAAAACUUAUAGAAGGAAGGUCAUUGUAUCAGGAUCCAUCAAAGUAUAAAAUUUCAGUGAGACGAUAUUUUGAAGAAUUGAUCAGAGGAAUCAACAUCAAGGAGUAUAUCUCUACUACAUCCGAUGAAAUGUUUGCGAGUACUAGUGACCUGUAUGAAGCAUGCAGGCCAGAAUGCCCUGCUUUUGCUUUUUCAGGUGAAAGUCCUGAUCAGUCCUUCUGCAAAAGAGUAUUAGGCUUAUUUGAGAAAUCAGGUAGCAAGGAGCAAGAUCUUUUCACAAAAGCAUCCUGCCCUGACUGUAGCAGUACACCAGGUACUAGCGUUGAUUCUUCACUCUUGAAAGAUUAGUCAAAAAUGUAAAAUAUUAAAAAAACAAAUCUCCUGCAGUUUACUUGUUGGAAUUUGCCAAUUAUAUAUGCUGCCUAUAUUUCCUACAAACCAAAAAAUAAAAUAGUUGUAAAUGGAAACAGGUUGAAUUGACACAUACCCUCUUCUGUGCCUUAUUGCUUCAUUAUUAUUUCACAGAAUAACAUUGUUUGGAAGGUAGUGGUAGGAAAGCAACCUAAAAGAAGGUGGAAUAAAUUACAAGAAUAGUAAUUUAGAAAAAUUAAGCAGAAGAAACAGAUUCUGUGCAGCAAACUGUAGUAUGUAUAACAUUUCUCACUGUGGCCUGAUUUUUGUAAGUGCUGAGCAAUCACACAAUGGGAACUGCAGGUGUUCAGCACCUCUGAAAAAAAAUCAGAAGUUUAAUGCUUAUGUUUGAGCCCUAGGAAACUUAUUCUGACUCGCCAUAUUUGGAUAAGUACAAUGAAUUGCUCAUAAAUUUACCUAUUAAUGCAAAUGAAUGUGGUCCAUGAAGGAAGUGUCAACAUUAUUUAAAAUGUAUGUCUCAAGAAAGAAAGAAAGAAAGAAAGAAAGAGACUAGCCUACUGUAUAUAUGGCAGUCCGCAGUGUGUAUUUCUCUCUGAUCGUCCUUUUCCACUGCUGGAGCACA
This is an RNA transcript of Dermochelys coriacea (leatherback sea turtle), 1648 nucleotides long. RefSeq lists it as uncharacterized. The record is from RefSeq and is a predicted model, not a curated record. The transcript has 2 exons. Lineage: Eukaryota; Metazoa; Chordata; Testudines; Dermochelyidae.